UAUAAGCUGCGGGGAGUUGUCAGACGAAUUUUGAUCCGCAGAUUUCUGAAUGGGGAAACCCAAUCAAUUUAUUGAUUAUUGCAUAUUGAAUACAUAGAUAUGCAAGGCAAACCUGGUGAACUGAAAUAUCUCAGUAGCUAGAGGAAAGGAAAUCAAAAGAGACUCCGUUAGUAGUGACGAGCGAACACGGACCAGGCCAGUGGUUUAUAAUUAAAAAUUAGAAUACUUUGGAAAGAGUAGCCAUAGAUGGUGAUAGCCCAGUAUAAGUAAAAAAAUUAUAAAUCCUUGAGUAGGACGGGACACGUGGAAUCCUGUUUGAAGAUGGGGGGACCAUCCUCCAAGCCUAAGUACUCCUUAACGACCGAUAGUGGACAAGUACCGUGAGGGAAAGGUGAAAAGAACCCCGGGAGGGGAGUGAAAUAGACCCUGAAAUCGAAUGCUUACAACCAGUUGGAGCCUUAUACUUAUAUUUGUGAGUAAUCACAACCUAUAUUUAUUA
RNAcentral lists this ribosomal RNA (499 nucleotides) under uncultured Ehrlichia sp. Its description in RNAcentral is "partial 23S ribosomal RNA". It matches the Rfam family "Bacterial large subunit ribosomal RNA", at positions 70 to 590 of the family's 2925-position model. Lineage: Bacteria; Pseudomonadati; Pseudomonadota; Alphaproteobacteria; Rickettsiales; Anaplasmataceae. The record is from RNAcentral.